AGAAACUUAGGAUAACUUUCUAAACCAAGAGCCUUCAAAGCUCAUAAUAGGGAUUAAAUCUCCCUAGUUUCUG
RNAcentral lists this transfer RNA (73 nucleotides) under Stenocercus iridescens. Its description in RNAcentral is "tRNA-Trp". It matches the Rfam family "tRNA". From Rfam's summary of the family: Transfer RNA (tRNA) molecules are approximately 80 nucleotides in length. The record is from RNAcentral. Lineage: Eukaryota; Metazoa; Chordata; Lepidosauria; Squamata; Tropiduridae.